This 432-nucleotide ribosomal RNA is filed under the name uncultured bacterium. RNAcentral describes it as "partial 16S ribosomal RNA". It matches the Rfam family "Bacterial small subunit ribosomal RNA", at positions 338 to 795 of the family's 1533-position model. The record is from RNAcentral.
CCUACGGGUGGCUGCAGUGGGGAAUCUUGGACAAUGGACGAAAGUCUGAUCCAGCAAUUCCGCGUGGGUGAAGAAGGCCUUCGGGUUGUAAAGCCCUUUGCGAGAAUACUCAGUACCGGAAGAAUCAGCACCGGCUAACUACGUGCCAGCAGCCGCGGUAAUACGUAGGGUGCAAGCGUUAAUCGGAAUUACUGGGCGUAAAGCGUGCGCAGGUGGCUUGUUAAGACAGUCGUGAAAUCCCCGGGCUCAACCUGGGAACUGCGAUUGUGACUGGCUCGCUAGAGUAUGGGAGAGGGGGGUGGAAUUCCGCGUGUAGCAGUGAAAUGCGUAGAGAUGCGGAGGAACACCGAUGGCGAAGGCAACCCCCUGGCCUAAACUGACACUCAUGCACGAAAGCGUGGGGAGCAAACAGGAUUAGAUACCCUGGUAGUC